Molecule: ribosomal RNA, 737 nt
Filed under: uncultured bacterium
Lineage: Bacteria
Description: bacterial SSU rRNA
Rfam family: Bacterial small subunit ribosomal RNA
Source: RNAcentral
CUAUACAUGCAGUCGAACGCUUUGUCUUUAAUUGAUCUGACGAGCUUGCUCUGAUUUGAUUUUAUCUGACAAAGAGUGGCGAACGGGUGAGUAACACGUGGGUAACCUACCUCUUAGCAGGGGAUAACAUUUGGAAACAAGUGCUAAUACCGUAUAAUACCAACAACCGCAUGGUUGUUGGUUGAAAGGUGGUUCUGCUAUCACUAAGAGAUGGACCCGCGGUGCAUUAGCUAGUUGGUAAGGUAACGGCUUACCAAGGCAAUGAUGCAUAGCCGAGUUGAGAGACUGAUCGGCCACAAUGGGACUGAGACACGGCCCAUACUCCUACGGGAGGCAGCAGUAGGGAAUCUUCCACAAUGGGCGCAAGCCUGAUGGAGCAACGCCGCGUGUGUGAUGAAGGGUUUCGGCUCGUAAAACACUGUUAUAAGAGAAGAACGGCACUGAGAGUAACUGUUCAGUGUGUGACGGUAUCUUACCAGAAAGGAACGGCUAUACGUUGGCUCCAAGCAAGCCGCGGUAAUACGUAUGUUCCAAGCGUUAUCCGGAUUUAUUGGGCGUAAAGCGAGCGCAGACGGUUAUUUAAGUCUGAAGUGAAAGCCCUCAGCUCAACUGAGGAAUGGCUUUGGAAACUGGAUGACUUGAGUGCAGUAGAGGAAAGUGGAACUCCAUGUGUAGCGGUGAAAUGCGUAGAUAUAUGGAAGAACACCAGUGGCGAAGGCGGCUUUCUGGACUGUAAC